CAAUAGCGUAUAUUAACGUUGUUGCAGUUAAAAAGCUCGUAGUUGGAUUUCUGGAGGGAGCGUCGGCCCGUAUUUACGAGUGCGUGACGUCUCUGUCCAUCCUUGCGGGAAGGCACGGCAUUGAUUUGUUGUGUCGGAUCGCAUCAUUUACUGUGAAAAAAUUAGAGUGUUCAAAGCAGGCUUUCGCUUGAAUACAUUAGCAUAGAAUAAUAAGAUAGGACUUUGGUGCUAUUUUGUUGGUCGAGCCUAAAGUAAUGAUUAAUAGGGAUAGUUGGGGGCACCUGUAUUGCGUUGUCAGAGGUGAAAUUCUUGGAUUUACGCAAGACAAACAGCUGCGAAAGCGUCUGCCAAGGAUGUUUUCAUUAA
RNAcentral lists this ribosomal RNA (366 nucleotides) under uncultured eukaryote. RNAcentral's name for it is "partial 18S ribosomal RNA". It matches the Rfam family "Eukaryotic small subunit ribosomal RNA", at positions 592 to 976 of the family's 1831-position model. The record is from RNAcentral.